RNAcentral lists this ribosomal RNA (429 nucleotides) under Chloroflexota bacterium. RNAcentral describes it as "Chloroflexi bacterium partial 16S ribosomal RNA". It matches the Rfam family "Bacterial small subunit ribosomal RNA", at positions 355 to 776 of the family's 1533-position model. The record is from RNAcentral. Lineage: Bacteria; Bacillati; Chloroflexota.
UGGGGAAUAUUGCACAAUGGGCGCAAGCCUGAUGCAGCCAUGCCGCGUGUAUGAAGAAGGCCUUCGGGUUGUAAAGUACUUUCAGCUGGGAGGAAGGGAGUAAAGUUAAUACCUUUGCUCAUUGACGUUACCCGCAGAAGAAGCACCGGCUAACUCCGUGCCAGCAGCCGCGGUAAUACGGAGGGUGCAAGCGUUAAUCGGAAUUACUGGGCGUAAAGCGCACGCAGGCGGUUUGUUAAGUCAGAUGUGAAAUCCCCGGGCUCAACCUGGGAACUGAAUCUGAUACUGGCAAGCUGGAGUCUCGUAGAGGGGCGUAGAAUUCCAGGUGUAGCGGUGAAAUGCGUAGAGAUCUGGAGGAAUACCGGUGGCGAAGGCGGCCCCCUGGACAAAGACUGACGCUCAGGUGCGAAAGCGUGGGGAGCAAACAGG